GUUUGAUCAUGGCUCAGAGUGAACGCUGGCGGUAGGCCUAACACAUGCAAGUCGAACGGCAGCACAGGAGAGCUUGCUCUCUGGGUGGCGAGUGGCGGACGGGUGAGGAAUACAUCGGAAUCUACUCUGUCGUGGGGGAUAACGUAGGGAAACUUACGCUAAUACCGCAUACGACCUACGGGUGAAAGCAGGGGAUCUUCGGACCUUGCGCGAUUGAAUGAGCCGAUGUCGGAUUAGCUAGUUGGCGGGGUAAAGGCCCACCAAGGCGACGAUCCGUAGCUGGUCUGAGAGGAUGAUCAGCCACACUGGAACUGAGACACGGUCCAGACUCCUACGGGAGGCAGCAGU
This 348-nucleotide ribosomal RNA is filed under the name uncultured bacterium. Its description in RNAcentral is "bacterial SSU rRNA". It matches the Rfam family "Bacterial small subunit ribosomal RNA", at positions 11 to 355 of the family's 1533-position model. The record is from RNAcentral.